GACGAACCGAGCGAACGUUGUUCGGAAUCACUGGGCUUAAAGGGCGCGUAGGCGGGCUGUCAAGUCUGGGGUGAAAUCCCGCGGCUCAACCGUGGAACUGCCUCAGAUACUGACGGUCUCGAGGGGGAUAGGGGCGAGCGGAACUAAUGGUGGAGCGGUGAAAUGCGUUGAUAUCAUUAGGAACUCCGGUGGCGAAGGCGGCUCGCUGGAUCUCUUCUGACGCUGAGGCGCGAAAGCUAGGGGAGCAAACGGG
This 253-nucleotide ribosomal RNA is filed under the name uncultured bacterium. Its description in RNAcentral is "partial 16S ribosomal RNA". It matches the Rfam family "Bacterial small subunit ribosomal RNA", at positions 524 to 776 of the family's 1533-position model. The record is from RNAcentral.